UCAGAUACUUUACUGAUAUCUCUGUGUUCCUCUGUGUUUCAGCUGAUCAGCAUCAUGAGACUGAUCAUUCAUGCACAUUCCCUAACCCUCAGCACUCUGGUCUUACACACUGUGGAAUUAUUAUUAUAAUCCUAUCAUGUGUGUGUGCGGUCUUUGUUUCAAUAAGCAUCAUCUGCUCCUCUCUGUACUGUUCCACGCUACAAGAUAAGUGUUCUUCCACUGGGGACUCAAACGAGAAGGUACCAGAAAAACGAUGAAAUGAUGAAAUGUAGUUGAUGGAAGUCAGCGCCGAGAUCAUGUCACUAUUAAAGCAGACUAAUAACGUCACAUUAUCAGAUGUUUCUCUCUGCAGGAAGUGGACCUGCACCUGUCUGAUUUGACCUCUGUGACCUACACAAGUGUCUCCUGACGGCCCAGAAAACAUCAGCAGCAUGAGGAUCAGAAUCAGCAGAGAACCUGCUACAAUCCCAUCGACCUUGCAUACAUCAAGUACUCACUAAUAAUCCGUGUGGUCUGAAGAUUAAUGACUUCCUGUUCUGCCCCCAAAAGCAUGUUAUCUGGGUGAUUCCCCAACUGUGACGUCAUUCAGCUCUCGUAACUCUUAAACUUCAAUUUUUAAAUAAUUGUUCAACAAUGAAUCGAGGAAAACGUUCAUUUAACUAUUCAAAAAUGUCUUAAGUUCAAAAAAUAAUAAUUUAUUUACAAGAAUUCUUUGGUACAUUUUGCUCUUAAAAGAGUUCCAAGGUUAAAAGUAGUGAUGUUAAAGCUUCAUGAAGAGUUGAAGCAUUAAAGCCAGAUGUGUUGAAGAUGUUUGUUUCUUUGGGCUAUAAGUGCACACUAGAGCUCUAGUGGUCAAAAGACUUUAGUCCUGUGUAACAUGUAACACUGCACUGUGUGUACAGGCCAAUACGAAGUACAUGACUGAUAUAAUCAAUAUCAAAUAAAUGAAUUCCUGAAGGUGAA
Molecule: long non-coding RNA, 963 nt
Organism: Ictalurus punctatus (channel catfish)
Lineage: Eukaryota; Metazoa; Chordata; Actinopteri; Siluriformes; Ictaluridae
Exons: 2
Source: RefSeq, a predicted model, not a curated record